RNAcentral lists this ribosomal RNA (462 nucleotides) under uncultured bacterium. RNAcentral describes it as "partial 16S ribosomal RNA". It matches the Rfam family "Bacterial small subunit ribosomal RNA", at positions 29 to 507 of the family's 1533-position model. The record is from RNAcentral.
AGUGAACGCUGGCGGCGUGCCUAAUACAUGCAAGUCGAACGAACGAAUAAGAGCCUGCUCUUAUAAGUUAGUGGCGCACGGGUGAGUAAUAUAUAGCUAAUCUGCCUCUUAGUAGAGGAUAACAGUCGGAAACGAUUGCUAAUACUCUAUACUUCUGCUUUACAUAAGUAAAGUAGAGAAAGUUUUUCGCUAAGAGAUGAGGCUAUACUGUAUCAGCUAGUUGGUAAGGUAACGGCUUACCAAGGCUAUGACGCAUAACUGGUCUGAGAGGAUGAUCAGUCACAUUAGAACUGAGACACGGUCCAAACUCCUACGGGAGGCAGCAGUAGGGAAUAUUGCGCAAUGGGGGAAACCCUGACGCAGCAACGCCGCGUGGAGGAUGACACUUUUCGGAGCGUAAACUCCUUUUAUCGGGAAAGAAUAAUGACGGUACCCGAUGAAUAAGCACCGGCUAACUCCGUG